RNAcentral lists this ribosomal RNA (251 nucleotides) under uncultured prokaryote. Its description in RNAcentral is "partial 16S rRNA". It matches the Rfam family "Bacterial small subunit ribosomal RNA", at positions 525 to 775 of the family's 1533-position model. The record is from RNAcentral.
ACGGAGGGUGCAAGCGUUAUUCGGAUUUAUUGGGCGUAAAGGGCGCGCAGGCGGUUUUUUAGGUCGGAUGUGAAAUCCCGUGGCUUAACUGCGGAAGUGCAUUCGAAACCGGAAGACUUGAGUAUGGGAGAGGGAAACGGAAUUCCCGGUGUAGCGGUGAAAUGCGUAGAUACCGGGAGGAACGCGUGUGGCGAAAGCGGUUUCCCGGAACUAUACUGACGCGGAGGCGGGAAGGUGAGGGGAUCGGUGAG